This is a long non-coding RNA of Hydra vulgaris (swiftwater hydra), 1566 nucleotides long. RefSeq lists it as uncharacterized. The record is from RefSeq and is a predicted model, not a curated record. Lineage: Eukaryota; Metazoa; Cnidaria; Hydrozoa; Anthoathecata; Hydridae.
UUAUAUAAUUAAGUCUAACAUUUAAAAGAUAAAAUGUUAGACUAACCAAAAGUCUCUAGAACCUAACAUCUGAUAUAAUAUACAAGAUUCAGUAAACUGAGAAUGACAGAGCUUAACAUCAAACAGGAGCUUUUUACAUGGGUUUCUUGGAAUAAUAAAAUGACAUUUGAUCUUAAGAGAGAUGUUCUUGUAAAAUAAAUGAAAUAAAUGAUUAUUAAAGCAACUGCUAAAGAUGGUGAAAAAUAUGGAGUAGAAUGAGGUUUGACUUGAAAUCGAAGAGUAGGAAUACCGUAAAUCGUCAAUAUUUAAAUCAGCAGCUAUUUUAUGGUUGAUCGUAAAUAACUUUUGAUAAUUUUUAAUUUUCGAAAAAAAUUUCUUGGCAUUAGCCACUGUUACCGGUAAUGUGAGAAGAAUUCUCAAUGCAAUAGAUACAUUCAUGUAGAUUUUACUCAAACCGUUUGCGUACAAAUAUUUUAAAGCAUUUUCAGGAUCUAAAUUUUCAGUAAAAAGAGAAAAAUGAGAUGUUAAUUUAAAACUUAGUUCCAUGCCAGAAAUAUCAUUUUUUCUAUUUUCCGCUAGUUUACUUUCUAACAUGAUGCAAUAAGAUUUUGUUUAUACUUUUCUUUUAAACAUGAUUAUUUUUCCACAUUUUGUUCAGGUUUAUCAAAAAACCCUUGCUUUUUUUUAUUCUUGAAACAGAUUCUGCUUAAAAAUUUUCUUCUGCCUUUAAAAAAGUGGCAAGUUCUUUUGCAAUACAAGUAACAGACUCAAAGUUUUCCUGGUUGUAAUUUUUCUUUAAAAAAAAAAAUUGUUCUUCUCAUUGACUUUAAAGCCUCUGAAAUAUUUGUUGAUUGAAGUUGUUUGCUUGUUAAAUUAAUUUUUAAUAAAACUUUUUCAUUAGCGGUCCUAGCCACAUCUUGCAGUGCUUCAUAAAUUUUUGGCAUUUCAAACUGAAGAGUUUUUACAGAAUUGAUGAGAAAACCUUUUCUAUUUGCCACUUCAAUUUUGUUAAACAAAUAUUGGAAAAAACAAAUACACCAUUUGUUUAGUCUGUAGUAAUGUGGUAGUGGUGCAGUGGUAGAACUCUUCACAAGCAAGAAGUAUCAAUUUUGACCACUGCCUCCCUAGUAAUAUUGCACUCAGUUUGUUUUUUUGUGCAAUGGCCUUGUUCAUCAAGUUUUAUGUUAUAGAGUUGUAACAACAUUCGAAAGAGCACCACUACUUUGACAUUUUUCUUUUUGGAGGAAUUUUCUAGAAAGUUGAAAUGAUGAUAUCAUUCUACCAUAGCACCAUUGUUCUGCAACUUAGACAAUGAACUUGCUGGCUUGUAAGCCAGAUAUUGCCAAGUUUGAAUCCCAAGUGAUUGUUUUUAAAGCCAUCUUCUAAGACUUGUAGGAUAUGGAAUGUCUUAAAUAGGAUGACUGUGAUACCAAACGACAUCAAAGCAGCAAAAAGUUUGGUAACAUCAUCAAAGCAGCAAAAAAUUUGGCAACACCAAAAACCGCUAGUUUGAACCUUAUAAUAUUCUAUAAUUUUUGUUGCAUAUGAAUAUAAUAAUCUAAAAUA